This 1372-nucleotide ribosomal RNA is filed under the name uncultured bacterium. Its description in RNAcentral is "bacterial SSU rRNA". It matches the Rfam family "Bacterial small subunit ribosomal RNA", at positions 28 to 1381 of the family's 1533-position model. The record is from RNAcentral.
GAUGAACGCUGGCGGCGUGCCUAAUACAUGCAAGUCGAGCGAACGGACGAGAAGCUUGCUUCUCUGAUGUUAGCGGCGGACGGGUGAGUAACACGUGGAUAACCUACCUAUAAGACUGGGAUAACUUCGGGAAACCGGAGCUAAUACCGGAUAAUAUUUUGAACCGCAUGGUUCAAAAGUGAAAGACGGUCUUGCUGUCACUUAUAGAUGGAUCCGCGCUGCAUUAGCUAGUUGGUAAGGUAACGGCUUACCAAGGCAACGAUGCAUAGCCGACCUGAGAGGGUGAUCGGCCACACUGGAACUGAGACACGGUCCAGACUCCUACGGGAGGCAGCAGUAGGGAAUCUUCCGCAAUGGGCGAAAGCCUGACGGAGCAACGCCGCGUGAGUGAUGAAGGUCUUCGGAUCGUAAAACUCUGUUAUUAGGGAAGAACAUAUGUGUAAGUAACUGUGCACAUCUUGACGGUACCUAAUCAGAAAGCCACGGCUAACUACGUGCCAGCAGCCGCGGUAAUACGUAGGUGGCAAGCGUUAUCCGGAAUUAUUGGGCGUAAAGCGCGCGUAGGCGGUUUUUUAGGUCUGAUGUGAAAGCCCACGGCUCAACCGUGGAGGGUCAUUGGAAACUGGAAAACUUGAGUGCAGAAGAGGAAAGUGGAAUUCCAUGUGUAGCGGUGAAAUGCGCAGAGAUAUGGAGGAACACCAGUGGCGAAGGCGACUUUCUGGUCUGUAACUGACGCUGAUGUGCGAAAGCGUGGGGAUCAAACAGGAUUAGAUACCCUGGUAGUCCACGCCGUAAACGAUGAGUGCUAAGUGUUAGGGGGUUUCCGCCCCUUAGUGCUGCAGCUAACGCAUUAAGCACUCCGCCUGGGGAGUACGACCGCAAGGUUGAAACUCAAAGGAAUUGACGGGGACCCGCACAAGCGGUGGAGCAUGUGGUUUAAUUCGAAGCAACGCGAAGAACCUUACCAAAUCUUGACAUCCUUUGACAACUCUAGAGAUAGAGCCUUCCCCUUCGGGGGACAAAGUGACAGGUGGUGCAUGGUUGUCGUCAGCUCGUGUCGUGAGAUGUUGGGUUAAGUCCCGCAACGAGCGCAACCCUUAAGCUUAGUUGCCAUCAUUAAGUUGGGCACUCUAAGUUGACUGCCGGUGACAAACCGGAGGAAGGUGGGGAUGACGUCAAAUCAUCAUGCCCCUUAUGAUUUGGGCUACACACGUGCUACAAUGGACAAUACAAAGGGCAGCGAAACCGCGAGGUCAAGCAAAUCCCAUAAAGUUGUUCUCAGUUCGGAUUGUAGUCUGCAACUCGACUACAUGAAGCUGGAAUCGCUAGUAAUCGUAGAUCAGCAUGCUACGGUGAAUACGUUCCCGGGUCU